GACAGAGGGUGCUAGCGUUGUUCGGAAUUACUGGGCGUAAAGGGCGCGUAGGCGGUCUGUUAAGUUCGGUGUGAAAUCCCCUGGCUCAACUGGGGAACUGCGCUGGAAACUGGCAGACUCGAGUACCGGAGAGGAGAGUGGAACUGCGAGUGUAGAGGUGAAAUUCGUAGAUAUUCGCAAGAACACCAGUGGCGAAGGCGGCUCACUGGCCCGGUACUGACGCUGAGGCACGAAAGCGUGGGGAGCAAACAGG
RNAcentral lists this ribosomal RNA (253 nucleotides) under uncultured bacterium. RNAcentral describes it as "partial 16S ribosomal RNA". It matches the Rfam family "Bacterial small subunit ribosomal RNA", at positions 524 to 776 of the family's 1533-position model. The record is from RNAcentral.